This 254-nucleotide ribosomal RNA is filed under the name uncultured bacterium. RNAcentral describes it as "partial 16S ribosomal RNA". It matches the Rfam family "Bacterial small subunit ribosomal RNA", at positions 524 to 776 of the family's 1533-position model. The record is from RNAcentral.
UACGUAGGGUGCGAGCGUUGUCCGGAAUUAUUGGGCGUAAAGCGCACGUAGGCGGUUCGUUAAGUCGGAUGUGAAAGCCCUCGGCUCAACUGAGGAAGUGCACCCGAAACUGGCGAGCUUGAGUACGAAAGAGGAUCGCGGAAUUCCCGGUGUAGAGGUGAAAUUCGUAGAUAUCGGGAGGAACACCGGUGGCGAAGGCGGCGAUCUGGGUCGAUACUGACGCUGAGGUGCGGAAAGCGUGGGGAGCAAACAGG